GAUGGAUGGAUGGAUGGAUGGAUGGAGUGGCCCAGGUCCAAAAUCAGCAUUGAGUGAAAAAAUUACAUCAGCGCGUAAAACCAAGUGAGAGCUGCAGCCAGGACACAGGUGAUCUAAUCCAUGUUAGAUGUUAACACCCAUUGAAAGUCAUUCUGGAGCUGAAGAGGACACUCUGGCAUUAAUUACAAGUUUCCAUCUCUCCAUCUUUGUUCCAGUUACUUCACGCCUCAUCUCUGUUGUACCAAGUUAGUUGGAAUCUACUUGUGCUUGCCAAAGAAAUUAAAUCUGACCUUGAAAGAAAUCUUGCAAACAUCUCUCUUAAACAAAUAAAUUAAUAAACUCUUGAGUGGCUUCCAGCCUUUGAAUCCUGGCUGGCUGUCGGCUGAACUGCACACCACCAUUGCCAAGGCCCUGCCAGAAGCAGCACACGAUUAUAAAUGGAUCUCACAAUAGCUCAUUGUAAUCCUCGGACUUCCACAAAAUUGUUGUCAGCUGUUAAAGAAGUUAGAGAGUUGACUCACACAGAAAAAGACUUUAAGGCAGGCCAGUGACCGUCAGCUAGAGCAGCCCCCGGAGGGCCUUUCUCUAACCUGCUCUAUUAGGGGCCUCCCAUGAGCUUGACAGGCAAAGCAGGGGGAUGACUUUGUCCCUUU
Erpetoichthys calabaricus (reedfish) is the source of this 653-nucleotide long non-coding RNA. RefSeq lists it as uncharacterized. NCBI's taxonomy places the organism in Eukaryota, Metazoa, Chordata, Cladistia, Polypteriformes, Polypteridae. The record is from RefSeq and is a predicted model, not a curated record. The transcript is spliced from 3 exons.